AAGUGGAGCAAUCCAUGAGUAAAGUGGCGUACGGGUGAGUAACACGUGGAUCAUCUACCUCUUAGUGGGGAAUAACCCUGGGAAACCGGGGCUAAUACCGCAUAAGUCCGUGAGGAGAAAGCAGCAAUGCGCUGAGAGAAGAGUCCGCGGCCGAUUAGCUAGUUGGUGAGGUAAUGGCUCACCAAGGCGUCGAUCGGUAGCCGGCCUGAGAGGGCACACGGCCACACUGGCACUGAAACACGGGCCAGACUCCUACGGGAGGCAGCAGUGGGGAAUCUUGCACAAUGGGGGAAACCCUGAUGCAGCGACGCCGCGUGAGCGAUGAAGCCCUUCGGG
This 336-nucleotide ribosomal RNA is filed under the name uncultured bacterium. RNAcentral's name for it is "bacterial SSU rRNA". It matches the Rfam family "Bacterial small subunit ribosomal RNA", at positions 72 to 422 of the family's 1533-position model. The record is from RNAcentral.